RNAcentral lists this non-coding RNA (1642 nucleotides) under Cryptosporidium parvum. The record is from RNAcentral. Lineage: Eukaryota; Apicomplexa; Conoidasida; Eucoccidiorida; Cryptosporidiidae.
AUAUGGGAAUUUUAUUAAAUGGGGAAGUCGCGCUGACUUAGAGUAUGAUUCAGAUGAUAACGCUAAGCGAUUUCCUACCAUUGAGAACGCAGAAGAAAGGAGGCAAAUAGAGAACCGAAACCGCUUUAGGAAGAGAAGAUAACUUAUUUUUUUAGCGCCAUUCUACUUUUUAUAUAAUUGGAUAUCUCUUUCGAUCUAUCGACUUUUACCGCAACGAACAAACCGUAUGUUCUCAACUAAUAUGAUUUGACCUUUCCUAGCAAGUACACUCGCACCGAGCCUUUUUCUCUUUGGCUUGGUAGUUUUUUUCACCUUGCGAAAUAGAACUACCACAAAAUUCCAUGUUUCAUUAGCCAGGGUUUCAUGGACUGUACUGGGAAACAAGCAUUUUUCUUGCGCAGGUAUCUCCAACACGGAUAUAUCAAUGAAUUGUUGGUCGUGUUGCGCAUAUACUAACAAUUCAUUCUUGCAUAGUUGGAUUUUCGUAACUUUGUAUAAUCCUGGAAAGAAUGAAGACAAAAGAUCAUUUCUAUUUAUCAAAUAGUCAGGCUUCACAACAUCAAUAGUAUUAAUUUUAUGCGAACUCUCUUUAUCAUUUUGUGAUCUCAACAAAGUGGUUUUCUCAGGUUCGCAAUAAUAGCAAUCGAAUGUUAAACACCUGCCUAUUUCUAUCGUAAAUCGACGGGUGUGCCGCAUUUGUACAAUAACUAGGACCUUAGUGGGCUACUGUGUUGAAUCGUGGACGCCUAAGCCUCCUUUAUUCCAGACCUAGCGAUGCUCGCAUUCCAGAUAUAAUGAAUUAAAUAUAACCUAUAAAUUUUGAACUAAUCGAGUGCAGGGGGCGCUCUAACAACUAUUCUCUUCUGUUGUGCUACUCCUACACAGUUUCCCACUACUCUUCCUCCGUUUCUCAUAUUGAUGCUAUUACAAUUCACAUUAUUUCCUGGUACCAGGUCGCCAUUAAUGUUUCUCUUCACAUUCAUACCGUAUUCCUUAAUAUCUUCAGAAUUUAUCCCAUUUAGAAUCAUUAGAACCUCGUAAGAAGAUGGUCUUUUGAAUGGCUUUCUUUCGAAACACUUGGAGAGUAAAUUAGAUAUAGAGGGGUGGAACCAUGACGGAAUUUUUGGUUUCUUCUUCUCAACUAUAAUUGCAUUAAUUACUUCCUCAUUUGAAGAGUAUUCAUAAAAAGGUAUGGGGCCGCCAAAAAUUUCCAAUAAGCAACAAGCAAUAGCCCAAAUAUCCGACUUUUCAUCUAUAGACCUUCCAAUGUAAAAACACUCAGGUGCCAUAUACCUAGGCGAUCCACCAUUUUCAUCCAGAACAACACCAGGUGGGCUAGUCUUAGUUGCAAUAUUCAUCGUUCUAGUUUGCCCAAAAUCACACAAUUUAACAUUAUUCGAACGAUCUAGAAUAAUAUUCGCUGUCUUUAUAUCUCUAUGAACCAUAUUGUUGUGAUGAAUAAAGUUAACUGCAUCGCAAAGCUGCCUUGAAAUUUUUAACCUAUCCGAGGCAGAUACUACAACUUUAUUUUCAUAUAAUAAUUCAAAAAGAUUUCCAUUUGUGAGAUACUCUGUGAUUAUUGCGUAGAAUCCAGGUUCUAAGCAAACUCCGAUAUAAGAACAAAUAUUCGGAUGGCGUAGUA